UACGGGGGGAGCAAGCGUUGUUCGGAUUUACUGGGCGUAAAGGGCGCGUAGGCGGCGUAACAAGUCACUUGUGAAAUCUCCGGGCUUAACCCGGAGCGGCCAAGUGAUACUGUUGUGCUAGAGUGCGGAAGGGGCUACUGGAAUUCUCGGUGUAGCGGUGAAAUGCUUAGAUAUGACAUAGAACACCAAUUGCGAAGGCAGCUCGUUACACGAAUAUUGACUCUGAGGCUCGAAAGCGUGGGGAUCAAACAGG
This 253-nucleotide ribosomal RNA is filed under the name uncultured bacterium. RNAcentral's name for it is "partial 16S ribosomal RNA". It matches the Rfam family "Bacterial small subunit ribosomal RNA", at positions 524 to 776 of the family's 1533-position model. The record is from RNAcentral.